GAUCCUGGCUCAGAUUGAACGCUGGCGGCAGGCCUAACACAUGCAAGUCGAACGGUAACAGGAAACAGCUUGCUGUUUCGCUGACGAGUGGCGGACGGGUGAGUAAUGUCUGGGAAACUGCCUGAUGGAGGGGGAUAACUACUGGAAACGGUAGCUAAUACCGCAUAACGUCGCAAGACCAAAGAGGGGGACCUUCGGGCCGUCUUGUCCAUCGGAUGUGCCCACGAUGGGAGUUAGCUAGUAGGUGGGGUAAAGGG
RNAcentral lists this ribosomal RNA (257 nucleotides) under uncultured bacterium. RNAcentral describes it as "partial 16S ribosomal RNA". It matches the Rfam family "Bacterial small subunit ribosomal RNA", at positions 15 to 264 of the family's 1533-position model. The record is from RNAcentral.